This 19-nucleotide unclassified non-coding RNA is filed under the name Chlamydomonas reinhardtii. RNAcentral describes it as "small RNA Cre_0524". The record is from RNAcentral. Lineage: Eukaryota; Viridiplantae; Chlorophyta; Chlorophyceae; Chlamydomonadales; Chlamydomonadaceae.
AGGAGGAGUACGCAGCUGC